UACAGAGGUCCCAAGCGUUGUUCGGAUUCAUUGGGCGUAAAGGGUGCGUAGGUGGCGCCGUAAGUCGGGUGUGAAAUUUCGGAGCUUAACUCCGAAACUGCAUUCGAUACUGCGGUGCUUGAGGACUGGAGAGGAGACUGGAAUUCAUGGUGUAGCAGUGAAAUGCGUAGAGAUCAUGAGGAAGACCAGUGGCGAAGGCGGGUCUCUGGACAGUUCCUGACGCUGAGGCACGAAGGCCAGGGGAGCAAACGGG
This 253-nucleotide ribosomal RNA is filed under the name uncultured bacterium. Its description in RNAcentral is "partial 16S ribosomal RNA". It matches the Rfam family "Bacterial small subunit ribosomal RNA", at positions 524 to 776 of the family's 1533-position model. The record is from RNAcentral.